RNAcentral lists this ribosomal RNA (500 nucleotides) under uncultured Glomeromycotina. Its description in RNAcentral is "partial small subunit ribosomal RNA". It matches the Rfam family "Eukaryotic small subunit ribosomal RNA", at positions 591 to 1092 of the family's 1831-position model. The record is from RNAcentral. Lineage: Eukaryota; Fungi; Glomeromycota.
CCAAUAGCGUAUAUUAAAGUUGUUGCAGUUAAAAAGCUCGUAGUUGAAUUUCGGGAUCAGUACGCCGGUCGUGCCUUCGGUAUGUACUGGUGUCACUGAUUCCUCCCUUCUGACGAACCGUUAUGCCAUUUAUUUGGUGUGGCGGGGAAUCAGGACUGUUACUUUGAAAAAAUUUGAGUGUUUAAAGCAGGCUCGCGCUUGAAUACAUUAGCAUGGAAUAAUGAAAUAGGACGUUUGAUUCUAUUUUGUUGGUUUCUAGGAUCGACGUAAUGAUUAAUAGGGAUAGUUGGGGGCAUUAGUAUUCAAUUGUCAGAGGUGAAAUUCUUGGAUUUAUUGAAGACUAACUACUGCGAAAGCAUUUGCCAAGGAUGUUUUCAUUAAUCAAGAACGAAAGUUAGGGGAUCGAAGACGAUCAGAUACCGUCGUAGUCUUAACCAUAAACUAUGCCGACUAGGGAUCGGAUGAUGUUAAUUUUUUAAUGACUCAUUCGGCGCCUUACG